CGGCCGCGUCGACUGCUAAAGACCGUAAAGGCGACGUAUAGGGGCUGAUGCCUGCCCAAUGCCGGAAUGUUAAGGGGAGGUGUUAGGCGCAAGCCAAAGCACCGAACUGAAGCACCGGUCAAUGGCGGCCGUAACUAUAACGGUCCUAAGGUAGCGAAAUUCCUUGUCGGGUAAGUUCCGACCUGCACGAAUGGUCAUAACGACUUGAACGCUGUCUCAACGUGGGACUCGGCGAAAUUGUAUUACGAGUGAAGAUGCUCGUUUCUCAUAGCAAGACGGAAAGACCCUGUGGAGCUUUACUGUAGCUUGGCAUUGAGUCGUUAGGAACAAAUGCAGAGGAUAGGUAGGAGCCGAUGAGGCGUCCCUUUCGGGGGGCGCGGAAGCACCCGUGGAAUACUACCUUUUGUCUGACGGCCCUAACUCUAACCCUUAUCGGGUUCGGAACAUUGCCAGGUGGGCAGUUUGGACUGGGGCGGUCGCCUCCGUAAACGGUACGGAGGCGUUCAAAGGUUCCCUCAGGCCUGGUUGGCAAUCGAGGUGGCGAGUGCAAGUGUACAGGGANCGUUGACUGG
RNAcentral lists this ribosomal RNA (572 nucleotides) under uncultured bacterium. Its description in RNAcentral is "bacterial LSU rRNA". It matches the Rfam family "Bacterial large subunit ribosomal RNA", at positions 1811 to 2376 of the family's 2925-position model. The record is from RNAcentral.